CAAAAAGUGUUCCAAAAUCCGGACGUCAAAAUGACGCGACAGUUUCUGCGUAUGGGGGCGGGAACCAGCGACGUUUUUCAAUCUGUCCAAUCAGCAGCCUCCAUCGUUGCCGGAAGUAUGUUUUGCUUGUUUUUUAUUUGCAAAGGGACCGUAUAGCAAGUGACAUAAAGACAUAAACGUCUGAUAAAAGAACAAUUGUAUGUCGCUGAGAGUAAAAGUGUUUUGUAAUCUUUUAACGCAAGAGAAGUUGAAGCGCACUUGAAAGUAAGCACAAAUAUUUUAAUUUUUUGAGUCAUAGCCACACACGUGCCAAUUCCGCAUCCAAUCCAUUUCGCUACGCACACUUAAGAUGGCGGCUACGUGAAAACAGCUGAUCGGUCCUGUGGCCCGCACUUGGUGUAUAUUUGUCCGUAACGUGAGUAGUUGAAAUCUUGCCGUACGUGGUACUUUCGCCCGAGAAGAAUUCUGGAAGCUGUGAACAUCAUGAAGACUGCGAAAGCGUAGUGCUCGGAUACGGAAGAAUCGAUGAAGGUUGGAAGGCAUCUCAACAGAUAGCUGGAAGACGGGAGGUGGAAAGUUGGGCGGCCUAGAGGGUCGAGUGAUCGCCGUGCUCGCCCAUACCGGCCCAGCCUCCGCCCCUGCGGAUUUUUUUCACGGCGAUGCUGAGGAGGACAGUAGUAGUGAGGAGUCCGCUGAAGUGCCCCCUGCCCCACCAGCAGCUGCGCGCGUCUCGGUGGGCACGGAGCCGGGGACCAGUGGCACUGCACCUCGGCAGCAGCCCCGCAGGCCACCCCGACUUCAGGUCCUCACGGACGCCGCAUCAAGGACGGCCGCGGACUAUGCCCGGCAGAGCCGGUUAGCUGAGGCGGCAAACGCGGAGGCCGCAAGCUUCCACCAGCAGUUGCUGCAGCAACAUCGGCAGCUGGUGGAAGAGCAGCGAGCGACGCGGCAAGUCCUCGAGCAGCUGGUGGCCGAGAUGCGUGGUUCGCGAGAGGCGAACACCCUCAUUGCGACCACGCUGCGCCAGCUGCUGGCUGCCCUGGCCGACCUGCGCGCGCCGCCUCAGCAUUAAGGGGCAGCUUUUUUUUUUUUUUGCCAUAUCAUCCUUUAGUGCUUUGUUAGGUACAAGUGUCACCUAUCUAUGCAUGUUUUUUUUUUUUUUAUGCAGCACUAAAGGAUGAUAUGGCUGUUUUCCGUAAUUUCUGUCCCUAAUCAUAUUUUUUUU
Dermacentor albipictus is the source of this 1225-nucleotide non-coding RNA. Lineage: Eukaryota; Metazoa; Arthropoda; Arachnida; Ixodida; Ixodidae. The record is from RefSeq and is a predicted model, not a curated record.